Molecule: ribosomal RNA, 245 nt
Filed under: uncultured Caryophanales bacterium
Lineage: Bacteria; Bacillati; Bacillota; Bacilli; Caryophanales
Description: uncultured Bacillales bacterium partial 16S ribosomal RNA
Rfam family: Bacterial small subunit ribosomal RNA
Source: RNAcentral
UACGUAGGGGGCGAGCGUUGUCCGGAAUGAUUGGGCGUAAAGGGCGCGUAGGCGGCUUGUUAAGUCCGGAGUGAAAGUCCUGCUUUUAAGGUGGGAAUUGCUUUGGAAACUGGCGGGCUGGAGUGCAGGAGAGGUUAGCGGAAUUCCCGGUGUAGCGGUGAAAUGCGUAGAGAUCGGGAGGAACACCAGUGGCGAAGGCGGCUAACUGGACUGUGACUGACGCUGAGGCGCGAAAGUGUGGGGAG